UACGUAGGGGGCGAGCGUUAUCCGGAUUUACUGGGUGUAAAGGGAGCGUAGACGGCAGAGCAAGUCUGAAGUGAAAGCCCGCGGCCCAACUGCGGGACUGCUUUGGAAACUGCCCGGCUAGAGUGCUGGAGAGGUAAGCGGAAUUCCUAGUGUAGCGGUGAAAUGCGUAGAUAUUAGGAGGAACACCAGUGGCGAAGGCGGCUUACUGGACAGUAACUGACGUUGAGGCUCGAAAGCGUGGGGAGCAAACAGG
Molecule: ribosomal RNA, 253 nt
Filed under: uncultured bacterium
Lineage: Bacteria
Description: partial 16S ribosomal RNA
Rfam family: Bacterial small subunit ribosomal RNA
Source: RNAcentral